Molecule: ribosomal RNA, 450 nt
Filed under: uncultured bacterium
Lineage: Bacteria
Description: bacterial SSU rRNA
Rfam family: Bacterial small subunit ribosomal RNA
Source: RNAcentral
GUGGGGAAUAUUGGACAAUGGGCGAAAGCUUGAUCCAGCCAUGCCGCGUGUGUGAAGAAGGUCUUCGGAUUGUAAAGCACUUUAAGUUGGGAGGAAGGGCAGUAAGUUAAUACCUUGCUGUUUUGACGUUACCAACAGAAUAAGCACCGGCUAACUUCGUGCCAGCAGCCGCGGUAAUACGAAGGGUGCAAGCGUUAAUCGGAAUUACUGGGCGUAAAGCGCGCGUAGGUGGUUCAGCAAGUUGGAGGUGAAAUCCCCGGGCUCAACCUGGGAACUGCCUCCAAAACUACUGAGCUAGAGUACGGUAGAGGGUAGUGGAAUUUCCUGUGUAGCGGUGAAAUGCGUAGAUAUAGGAAGGAACACCAGUGGCGAAGGCGACUACCUGGACUGAUACUGACACUGAGGUGCGAAAGCGUGGGGAGCAAACAGGAUUAGAAACCCGGGUAGUCC